Molecule: ribosomal RNA, 718 nt
Filed under: uncultured bacterium
Lineage: Bacteria
Description: bacterial SSU rRNA
Rfam family: Bacterial small subunit ribosomal RNA
Source: RNAcentral
ACGCGAAAUCUCCCUUCGGGGAGAAAGUAGAGUGGCGCACGGGUGAGUAACACGUAGGUAAUUUGCCUUCGGGUGGGGAAUAACAGCCGGAAACGGCUGCUAAUACCGCAUAAUGCAGCGGCUCGACAUCGAGACAGUUGUUAAAGCGGGGGAUUCGCAAGAACCUCGCGCCUGAAGAGAAGCCUGCGGCAGAUUAGCUAGUUGGUAAGGUAAUGGCUUACCAAGGCGACGAUCUGUAACCGGCCUGAGAGGGCGGUCGGUCACACUGACACUGACAUACGGGUCAGACUCCUACGGGAGGCAGCAGUCGGGAAUUUUGGGCAAUGGGCGAAAGCCUGACCCAGCAACGCCGCGUGAAGGAUGAAAUCCCUCGGGAUGUAAACUUCGUAAGAACAGGAAGAAUAAGUAGGGGACAAUACCCCCUAUGAUGACGGUACUGUUUGUAAGCUCCGGCUAACUCCGUGCCAGCAGCCGCGGUAAUACGGGGGGAGCAAGCGUUGUUCGGAUUUACUGGGCGUAAAGGGCGCGUAGGCGGCCACGACAAGUCACUUGUGAAAUCUCCGGGCUUAACCCGGAACGGUCAAGUGAUACUGUCGGGCUAGAGUGCAGAAGGGGCAACUGGAAUUCUCGGUGUAGCGGUGAAAUGCGUAGAUAUCGAGAGGAACACCUGCGGCGAAGGCGGGUUGCUGGGCUGACACUGACGCUGAGGCGCGAAAGC